RNAcentral lists this ribosomal RNA (253 nucleotides) under uncultured bacterium. RNAcentral's name for it is "partial 16S ribosomal RNA". It matches the Rfam family "Bacterial small subunit ribosomal RNA", at positions 524 to 776 of the family's 1533-position model. The record is from RNAcentral.
GACGAACCGUGCGAACGUUGUUCGGAAUCACUGGGCUUAAAGGGCUCGUAGGCGGCCAACUAAGUCGGAUGUGAAAUCCCCAGGCUCAACCUGGGAACUGCAUCCGAUACUGGAUGGCUUGAAUUCGGGAGAGGGAUGCAGAAUUCCAGGUGUAGCGGUGAAAUGCGUAGAUAUCUGGAGGAAUACCGGUGGCGAAGGCGGCAUCCUGGACCGACAUUGACGCUGAGGAGCGAAAGCCAGGGGAGCAAACGGG